Non-coding RNA from Macaca mulatta (Rhesus monkey), 536 nucleotides. NCBI's taxonomy places the organism in Eukaryota, Metazoa, Chordata, Mammalia, Primates, Cercopithecidae. The record is from RefSeq and is a predicted model, not a curated record.
CUGAGUUACACUGUCACUUGAGAAGUAUUACCUUUAGUAGUGAUUGUUUGGUUUGUUUGUUUGCCUUUAGAGACAGACUCUCCCUUUGAUACUCAGGCUGGCCUCGAAUUCCUGAGCUCAAACGAUCCUCCUGCCUCAGCCUCCUAGAAGCUGGGACUGCAAUAAUCACUUUGAUUGGUACACCCCGAUCUUUGGAGGAAGUCUGCAACAAAGCCUCGUGUAAGUCAGUCACAGUGUUAAACUGAACCCAGGAGAUUUCACAGUAUAGAGAAAGCCCAUAUCAAGUCCAAGCAACAAUGAACAAAUAUAGUCAGAGCGUGUGGGAGCAGCUACCUAUAAAGAUUCUGUCCUCCCAGAGAACAUCCCAGGCAUGGAAGUGACACACUGCCUACCAACUGCCUACAUUUGAUUUUAUGAACAUCCUCUUUUCUGAUGAAAAACUUCCAUUUGUGCUUUACGCAAGGAUGCUCCCUUUCCAAACAGGCAAAAGAGUAAAAACGAUCCCCAUGACUUAUGAAAGACAGCUUUUUAAAGGU